This 275-nucleotide ribosomal RNA is filed under the name Salmonella enterica subsp. enterica. RNAcentral describes it as "partial 23S ribosomal RNA". It matches the Rfam family "Bacterial large subunit ribosomal RNA", at positions 1292 to 1568 of the family's 2925-position model. The record is from RNAcentral. RNAcentral also lists the same sequence under 2 other names. Lineage: Bacteria; Pseudomonadati; Pseudomonadota; Gammaproteobacteria; Enterobacterales; Enterobacteriaceae.
GAAUGCUGACAUAAGUAACGAUAAAGCGGGUGAAAAGCCCGCUCGCCGGAAGACCAAGGGUUCCUGUCCAACGUUAAUCGGGGCAGGGUGAGUCGACCCCUAAGGCGAGGCCGAAAGGCGUAGUCGAUGGGAAACGGGUUAAUAUUCCCGUACUUGGUGUUACUGCGAAGGGGGGACGGAGAAGGCUAUGUUGGCCGGGCGACGGUUGUCCCGGUUUAAGCGUGUAGGUGUGUGUUCCAGGUAAAUCCGGUUCACUUUAACACUGAGGCGUGACG